Long non-coding RNA from Vidua macroura (Pin-tailed whydah), 558 nucleotides. RefSeq lists it as uncharacterized. The transcript has 3 exons. NCBI's taxonomy places the organism in Eukaryota, Metazoa, Chordata, Aves, Passeriformes, Viduidae. The record is from RefSeq and is a predicted model, not a curated record.
UCUUACAGAUAGACUAACUUAAAACAAAAGAAACUCAACUGGCUUCAAAAUGACUCCAGCUGCAUGGCCCAGCUGGAGGGAGACAGAAGGCUUUGUUCCCUGUUGACUCCUUCAGGGGCUGGAAGGGCCCAGUGUUGUUCUUGACAGUUGGAUACUUUAGGCCAGUGCCAGGGGGGAGGAUAAGAGGCACAUUCUCCAGCUUUGUGUGCUGAGAUGUAUGUGUGCCAUUGGACGCUCUCCUUCUGCUGCCUCUGCUGAUGGGCUCCAUCAGACCCUGGGGCAUUAGGCAUCCAUUCACUUGAGCAGCACUUCAGUACCAGAUCCCCAAGAGCAUGAGAAGAAUAUCCCUAUGACUGAAAUGUGCAGUGCAUUUUGCUGGUUUAUCUCCUGCUGACUUAAAUCAAGGACAAGAUUAGACUCAACAAUUAAAUUCCCAUCAGUUUGUUUCAGCGCAGGAAUGUUUUCUCCUCUGUAUUUCACAAGUCUUGGAUUCUUGGACUGUGGCUUAGAUGCAACUGCUGUAAGAAGAGAUUCCAACAACCAUGAAAUGAAAAUAAA